Molecule: ribosomal RNA, 519 nt
Filed under: uncultured bacterium
Lineage: Bacteria
Description: bacterial SSU rRNA
Rfam family: Bacterial small subunit ribosomal RNA
Source: RNAcentral
CGUAACGCGUGAAGUUGACCGCCUGGGAGUACGGCCGCAAGGUUAAAACUCAAAGGAAUUGACGGGGACCCGCACAAGCGGUGGAUGAUGUGGAUUAAUUCGAUGCAACGCGAAAACCUUACCUGCGCUUGACAUGCCAGGAACCCCGAAGAGAUUUGGGGGUGCCCGAAAGGGAGCCUGGACACAGGUGCUGCAUGGCUGUCGUCAGCUCGUGUCGUGAGAUGUUGGGUUAAGUCCCGCAACGAGCGCAACCCUUAUCCUUAGUUGCUACGCAAGGGCACUCUAAGGAGACUGCCGGUGACAAACCGGAGGAAGGUGGGGAUGACGUCAAGUCCUCAUGGCCCUUAUGCGCAGGGCUUCACACGUCAUACAAUGGUCGGUACAGAGGGUCGCCAACCCGCGAGGGGGAGCCAAUCCCAGAAAGCCGAUCGUAGUCCGGAUUGCAGUCUGCAACUCGACUGCAUGAAGUCGGAAUCGCUAGUAAUCGCGGAUCAGCAUGUCGCGGUGAAUACGUUCCCG